ACUCGGUUCAUUUCUGCAGCAAGUGCAAAAAAGGCCCAGUAACCCUCUGCCUACAGAGUUCUGGUCAUGCAACCCAAAAUGCCUCCAUGAAUAUCUUCAGUUUACCAUUCACAGCUGCUCCUGGACCAAUCCCCUUGAAAGCUAGAGCCUCAAUGGGCAAAAGGCUCUAAUGCCAGGGCUAAGCCCACUGAUGACAAUAAGAGACUAUCCUAAAAAGAAAAGUUCUGGGUGAAACCCAGGAACCAACGUUGUACUGCCACACACCUACUGAGAGGGAGGUGGAGAAGAGAGAGAAGCCUGGUAGCUUCUUUCAGAGCACUGGACUAGGGAAUGAGGAGAGAUGGAAUCCAGUGUCAUUUCUGCCACUCCCUAGCCUGAUUUCCAUCCAUAGCUUAGCAUGGUGCCUAACAAACAGAUCUGAAUUUGCUACUCUGGCAAGUCAAGCCCUGGACGUUGAUGUUUAA
Molecule: long non-coding RNA, 464 nt
Filed under: Phascolarctos cinereus (koala)
Lineage: Eukaryota; Metazoa; Chordata; Mammalia; Diprotodontia; Phascolarctidae
Description: lncRNA (ENSPCIG00000036714.1)
Source: RNAcentral